UACAGAGGGGGCAAGCGUUGUUCGGAAUUACUGGGCGUAAAGGGCGCGUAGGCGGCCUGCUAAGUCGAACGUGAAAUCCCCGGGCUCAACCCGGGAACUGCGUCCGAUACUGGCAGGCUUGAAUCCGGGAGAGGGAUGUGGAAUUCCAGGUGUAGCGGUGAAAUUCGUAGAUAUUAGGAAGAACACCAGUGGCGAAGGCGGCUCACUGGCCCGGUACUGACGCUGAGGCGCGAAAGCGUGGGGAGCAAACAGG
Molecule: ribosomal RNA, 253 nt
Filed under: uncultured bacterium
Lineage: Bacteria
Description: partial 16S ribosomal RNA
Rfam family: Bacterial small subunit ribosomal RNA
Source: RNAcentral